CCCCGCGCCCGCGGAGCCCCGGCUCCCGCCUGCCCAGCCCCCUCCCGGGGAGCGAGCCGGGACCCAGGGGUGGGAGCAGAGUCGGGGCUUUGUGGCGCCGGGGGCCGAGGAAGAAUGAAACGUGCAGUUGGGAGUGUUGCUCGCGUCCCAGGGAGCAGCGCAGGCCCGAUUGUCUGCCGCCGAGAUGGCCUUUUGUUCGGAGCAUAAGGUUUAAGAAACACACACACGUUUUCUGGGGUCUCUUGUUGGAUGUAAAUGUGCCGCAUCCAGACGCUCGCGGNNNNNNNNNNNNNNNNNNNNNNNNNCGCCCCGCCCCGCCCCGCCCCGCCCCGGCGACCGGGACCGUUGGGACGCGGACCUCACCCAGACUUCUGGGCCGCCGGCACUGCCUUCGCCCCGUUUCACUCCAGACUAGCCAAGCAUCCCACGGAGAUGAUAAAGCAAACAAUAACAUCUGAUCAUGACGUCCACGAGAUAAUGUGCCCGGCAAAGUUCUUUAGGAAUCGGGAUGAGCGGGAGGGUGAGGGAGUGAUCGUUUCCCUUCGUUUUCCUUAAACGUGACUUUAAGAGAUAAAUGGUGAAGUUUAUACCUUGGCCUGCUGGACAGCCGGUCCGCCCCAUGGCACGAAGCUCGGCAUCAAAGGGCCAAAUUAGACAUUCGACCGGGAGCCCUCGAAGCUGAGGAUGUUACCUUUGAAGAACAGAAACAAUGAAAAUACAGAGGAAUUGCAUUUGGAUACUUCUUCCUGUCAAUCAUCUUUGCCAGAUUCCUAUUUGAACAUCCUGAAAAUGAGGAAGACAUCAGAUCUCGCCUUAAGGAAGUCUGAUACCCAGGAGAUGAUCCGAGUUUCAACUCUCUGUGGUGAAAAGAGGGUGAAGAGCAGCAGAAGUCUACGGAAAAGUCGUCUUAUUAACUGGAAUACUGACUUUGCAAUCAAGAAUCAUGUACCGCUGAUAAUGAGUCCAUGGGCAGGCUCAGGGUGGCUCCAGGAAAAUUCAGCAAGGAUAGUUGUCCUUCAUGUUUCUAUUGUAGUACCCUUUCUUCCUGACCUUCUAUUGCUCCUCUGUGCCUAGGUACAGAAAGUGAAAAGAAGCAAUCUGACCAAUUCAUAUAUAUAUAAAUACACCAGUGUGUUAAUCUUUCCAAAGCUACCAAGAAGGCAAAAGAAGAUUGCUUCAUGGAAGGCAGUGCGGAAAGCAGGGAUUAAAAAAUAUCAUUCACUUAUUGACAAAUUUCUUGAAUGUCAAGAAUGCUUGGUAUAUAAAGAUAAUUAUCACACAGUCCACACUGGGUAUUUUGCAUGUGGAGCCAAUAUGAAUUUUUGGGAGCCAGAGUGGACUAUAGUAGGCAGAAUAAGGCUGCUUCUCUUCAAUAGAUGUAUCUGCCCUCCUCUAUUUUCUUACAUGAGGAACAAAAGGAACUUUACAGAUAGAAAUGACGUUAUGGACCUUCAAAUAGAGAAAUUAUCUUGAAUUAUCUGGAAGGAGCCAGUGUAAUGUCAUGGGCUCUGCAAAGUGGCAGAGGAAGACAGAAGUCAGUGAGACAGAUGUGAAGAACAAAAGGCAGAAGAGAUUUGAAGUGAAAAUAACCACCACUGCUAGCUUUGCAUAUGAAGAAAAUGGCUUCCACAAGCCAGGGAAUGUGUGGUCCUUGGAAGCUGGGAACUACCCUCGCUGAGAGCUGAGGAAGUCAGUCCUACAACUGCAAGGAAUUCAUUUCUGCCAACAACAUACACAAGGAAGGAAACGGGUUCUGUCCUACAGAAGUUAACCUAUAGAACUGUGACAGCCAUAACUUUGUCUGUUUGAAGUGGCUUGGUUUGUAGUAAAUUGUUAUUGCAGUUACAGAAAACUAAUACAAAUGGGAAUAAAAAGAACGCUUACCUUAAAAAGAGAAUUAAA
This 1902-nucleotide long non-coding RNA is filed under the name Vulpes vulpes (red fox). RNAcentral's name for it is "lncRNA (ENSVVUG00000018530.1)". The record is from RNAcentral. Lineage: Eukaryota; Metazoa; Chordata; Mammalia; Carnivora; Canidae.